This 466-nucleotide ribosomal RNA is filed under the name uncultured ammonia-oxidizing beta proteobacterium. RNAcentral's name for it is "bacterial SSU rRNA". It matches the Rfam family "Bacterial small subunit ribosomal RNA", at positions 198 to 645 of the family's 1533-position model. Lineage: Bacteria; Pseudomonadati; Pseudomonadota; Betaproteobacteria. The record is from RNAcentral.
GGAGGAAAGCAGGGGAUCGUAAGACCUUGCGCUUUUGGAGUGGCCGAUGCCUGAUUAGCUAGUUGGUGGGGUAAGAGCCUACCAAGGCGACGAUCAGUAGUUGGUCUGAGAGGACGACCAGCCACACUGGGACUGAGACACGGCCCAGACUCCUACGGGAGGCAGCAGUGGGGAAUUUUGGACAAUGGGCGAAAGCCUGAUCCAGCAAUGCCGCGUGAGUGAAGAAGGCCUUCGGGUUGUAAAGCUCUUUCAGUCGAGAAGAAAAGGUUGCGACUAAUAAUCGCAACUUAUGACGGUAUCGACAGAAGAAGCACCGGCUAACUACGUGCCAGCAGCCGCGGUAAUACGUAGGGUGCGAGCGUUAAUCGGAAUUACUGGGCGUAAAGGGUGCGCAGGCGGCUCUGUAAGUCAGAUGUGAAAUCCCCGGGCUUAACCUGGGAAUUGCGUUUGAAACUACAAGGCUAGA